RNAcentral lists this ribosomal RNA (553 nucleotides) under Colletotrichum acutatum. RNAcentral describes it as "eukaryotic LSU rRNA". The stretch from base 226 to 379 matches the Rfam family "5.8S ribosomal RNA". The record is from RNAcentral. Lineage: Eukaryota; Fungi; Ascomycota; Sordariomycetes; Glomerellales; Glomerellaceae.
UCGUAACAAGGUCUCCGUUGGUGAACCAGCGGAGGGAUCAUUACUGAGUUACCGCUCUAUAACCCUUUGUGAACGUACCUAACCGUUGCUUCGGCGGGCAGGGGAAGCCUCUCGCGGGCCUCCCCUCCCGGCGCCGGCCCCCACCACGGGGACGGGGCGCCCGCCGGAGGAAACCAAACUCUAUUUACACGACGUCUCUUCUGAGUGGCACAAGCAAAUAAUUAAAACUUUUAACAACGGAUCUCUUGGUUCUGGCAUCGAUGAAGAACGCAGCGAAAUGCGAUAAGUAAUGUGAAUUGCAGAAUUCAGUGAAUCAUCGAAUCUUUGAACGCACAUUGCGCUCGCCAGCAUUCUGGCGAGCAUGCCUGUUCGAGCGUCAUUUCAACCCUCAAGCACCGCUUGGUUUUGGGGCCCCACGGCCGACGUGGGCCCUUAAAGGUAGUGGCGGACCCUCCCGGAGCCUCCUUUGCGUAGUAACUAACGUCUCGCACUGGGAUCCGGAGGGACUCUUGCCGUUAAACCCCCAAAUUCUUUACAGGUGACCUCGGAUCAG